GGACAAUGACUCUGCUUGGGAGAGCAUCUGCUUGGCAUGCAGAAGGUCCCAGGUUCAAUCCCUGCCAUCUCCA
Molecule: transfer RNA, 73 nt
Filed under: Sphaerodactylus townsendi
Lineage: Eukaryota; Metazoa; Chordata; Lepidosauria; Squamata; Sphaerodactylidae
Description: tRNA-Ala
Source: RNAcentral